GUGCUCAUUUUGGCAGCACAUAUACUAAAACUGCAAUGACAGAGAAGAUUAGCAUGGCUCCUGUAUAAUACACACAAUUCUUGAAGUAUUCCCUAUUUAA
This 100-nucleotide small nuclear RNA is filed under the name Nannospalax galili (Upper Galilee mountains blind mole rat). The record is from RNAcentral. Lineage: Eukaryota; Metazoa; Chordata; Mammalia; Rodentia; Spalacidae.